This 392-nucleotide ribosomal RNA is filed under the name uncultured bacterium. RNAcentral's name for it is "bacterial SSU rRNA". It matches the Rfam family "Bacterial small subunit ribosomal RNA", at positions 28 to 418 of the family's 1533-position model. The record is from RNAcentral.
GACGAACGCUGGCGGCGUGCUUAACACAUGCAAGUCGAGCGGUAAGGCCCUUUCGGGGGUACGACGAGCGGCGAACGGGUGAGUAACACGUGGGUGACCUGCCCUCAGCUCUGGGAUAAGCCUGGGAAACCGGGUCUAAGUACUGGAUAUGACUCCAUGACGCAUGUUGUGGGGUGGAAAGCCUUGUGCGGCUGAGGAUGGGCCCGCGGCCUAUCAGCUUGUUGGUGGGGUGANGGCCUACCAAGGCGACGACGGGUAGCCGGCCUGAGAGGGCGACCGGCCACACUGGGACUGAGACACGGGCCCAGACUCCUACGGGAGGCAGCAGUGGGGAAUCUUGCGCAAUGGGCGAAAGCCUGACGCAGCGACGCCGCGUGAGGGAUGACGGCCUU